UACGAAGGGGGCUAGCGUUGCUCGGAAUCACUGGGCGUAAAGGGUGCGUAGGCGGGUCUUUAAGUCAGGGGUGAAAUCCUGGAGCUCAACUCCAGAACUGCCUUUGAUACUGAGGAUCUUGAGUUCGGGAGAGGUGAGUGGAACUGCGAGUGUAGAGGUGAAAUUCGUAGAUAUUCGGAAGAACACCAGUGGCGAAGGCGACACACUGGCUCACUACUGACGCUGAGGCGCGAAAGCGUGGGGAGCAAACAGG
This 253-nucleotide ribosomal RNA is filed under the name uncultured bacterium. Its description in RNAcentral is "partial 16S ribosomal RNA". It matches the Rfam family "Bacterial small subunit ribosomal RNA", at positions 524 to 776 of the family's 1533-position model. The record is from RNAcentral.